Molecule: ribosomal RNA, 510 nt
Filed under: uncultured bacterium
Lineage: Bacteria
Description: partial 16S ribosomal RNA
Rfam family: Bacterial small subunit ribosomal RNA (bases 13-372)
Source: RNAcentral
GACGAACGCUGGCGGCGUGCUUAACACAUGCAAGUCGAACGGAAAGGCCCUGCUUUUGUGGGGUGCUCGAGUGGCGAACGGGUGAGUAACACGUGAGUAACCUGCCCUUGACUUUGGGAUAACUUCAGGAAACUGGGGCUAAUACCGGAUAGGAGCUCCUGCUGCAUGGUGGGGGUUGGAAAGUUUCGGCGGUUGGGGAUGGACUCGCGGCUUAUCAGCUUGUUGGUGGGGUAGUGGCUUACCAAGGCUUUGACGGGUAGCCGGCCUGAGAGGGUGACCGGCAGCAUGCGUACCAAGAUGCAGCCCACACUCGGGGGAGGGGGAGGGGUGGGGAAGGUUGCACAGUGGGAGGCGGGAUGAGGCACGACGGCGGGGGGCGGGAUGCUGGCCUGCGUGUAGUACUGCGCUUGCGCGUGUGAGGAGGUGUGGGUGAAGGUAGGGGAAAAAGAAGACCCGACUAACGACGCGCCAGCGGCCGUGGUAAUAAAACAUACGACCACUCUCAUGAUC